UAGGGAAUCUUCCGCAAUGGACGCAAGUCUGACGGAGCAACGCCGCGUGAGUGAAGAAGGAUUUCGGUUCGUAAAACUCUGUUGUUAGAGAAGAACAGCGCAUAGAGUAACUGUUAUGCGUGUGACGAUAUCUAACCAGAAAGCCACGGCUAACUACGUGCCAGCAGCCGCGGUAAUACGUAGGUGGCAAGCGUUGUCCGGAUUUAUUGGGCGUAAAGCGAGCGCAGGCGGUCAAUUAAGUCUGAUGUGAAAGCCCCCGGCUCAACCGGGGAGGGUCAUUGGAAACUGGUUGACUUGAGUGCAGAAGAGGAGAGUGGAAUUCCAUGUGUAGCGGUGAAAUGCGUAGAUAUAUGGAGGAACACCAGUGGCGAAGGCGACUCUCUGGUCUGUAACUGACGCUGAGGUUCGAAAGCGUGGGUAGCAAACAGG
RNAcentral lists this ribosomal RNA (429 nucleotides) under Bacteroidota bacterium. RNAcentral describes it as "Bacteroidetes bacterium partial 16S ribosomal RNA". It matches the Rfam family "Bacterial small subunit ribosomal RNA", at positions 355 to 776 of the family's 1533-position model. Lineage: Bacteria; Pseudomonadati; Bacteroidota. The record is from RNAcentral.